RNAcentral lists this ribosomal RNA (161 nucleotides) under Trichoderma virens. RNAcentral's name for it is "partial large subunit ribosomal RNA". It matches the Rfam family "Eukaryotic large subunit ribosomal RNA", at positions 99 to 261 of the family's 3401-position model. Lineage: Eukaryota; Fungi; Ascomycota; Sordariomycetes; Hypocreales; Hypocreaceae. The record is from RNAcentral.
CGGCAACAGCUCAAAUUUGAAAUCUGGCCCCUCGGGGUCCGAGUUGUAAUUUGUAGAGGAUGCUUUUGGUGAGGUGCCGCCCGAGUUCCCUGGAACGGGACGCCACAGAGGGUGAGAGCCCCGUCUGGCUGGCCACCGAGCCUCUGUAAAGCUCCUUCGAC